Molecule: RNA transcript, 893 nt
Organism: Daphnia carinata
Lineage: Eukaryota; Metazoa; Arthropoda; Branchiopoda; Diplostraca; Daphniidae
Gene name: homologous-pairing protein 2 homolog
Exons: 4
Source: RefSeq, a predicted model, not a curated record
CAACGUGCAUUGCACGUUUUCGAAGAAAUUAGGCGGUCGGAUGUUCGACUUCAACAACUAAAUUGGCACCUUGUAUUGAACUUAUCAUGGCUAAAGAUGGAAAAGAUAUAAGUGCAGCUGUAUUAAAAUAUUUGGUGAUGCAAAACAGACCAUUUGCCUUGAACGAUCUGCUUCUGAGCGCUCAACUGAAAGAUUAUGGGAAAACUGCUGUCCAGAAAAGCUUAGAUCAACUGGUUGUGGCAGGGAAAGUUAAAGAAAAAUGUUAUGGAAAGCAAAAAGUUUACGUCAUUGACCAAGAUUUGGUUUCCUCUCCCAACGACCCUGAUAUGGUCCAAAUGGAUUCUAAAAUAGCAGAGUUAACAAAACAGAUUGCUGAGGAUCAAGAAGUCAUUAAACAAGCAGAAACUGAAUUGAAAACCUUGAACUCCACAUUGUCAAUUGAGGAACUUUCUGCACAACUAGAAACGCUUCAAGCUGAAAAUGAGAAAAUGGAAUCUAAACUGAAAGAUUUAUCCCAGAUGAAAAUAAAGAUUUCGGCAUCUGAUUUCAAGAAGGUGAAAGCAACUAAAGAAAAAACUAUGUCUGAAUUACGAAAACGAAAAAGGAUUUGUGUUGAUAUGCUUGACCAAAUACUAGAAAGCUAUCCUAAAGGAAAAAAAGCUUUGCUUGAAGAAGUUGGAAUAGAGCCUGAAUAGUGGAAUCUCUUCUCACUACAUAAUUCCAGCAAAUCAGUCAGCCUUUCUUGUUCCCUAUGGGACAUGGACCAAAUUCUUAUGUUAUGAAAAACUUUAUCUUAUACAUAAAAUGAAAGAUCGAUGGGUCAAGCAGGAAAAAGUUCGCGUAGGAAAAUGAACCAUUAAUUUUAAAAGAAGACGUCGUGUGUUGUAGCAGGC